AUUGAACGCUGGCGGCAUGCCUUACACAUGCAAGUCGAACGGCAGCACGGGAGCAAUCCUGGUGGCGAGUGGCGAACGGGUGAGUAAUAUAUCGGAACGUGCCCAGUAGUGGGGGAUAGCCCGGCGAAAGCCGGAUUAAUACCGCAUACGACCUGUGGGUGAAAGCGGGGGAUCGCAAGACCUCGCGCUAUUGGAGCGGCCGAUAUCAGAUUAGCUUGUUGGUGGGGUAAAAAGCCCACCAAGGCGACGAUCUGUAGCUGGUCUGAGAGGACGACCAGCCACACUGGGACUGAGACACGGCCCAGACUCCUACGGGAGGCAGCAGUGGGGAAUUUUGGACAAUGGGCGCAAGCCUGAUCCAGCCAUGCCGCGUGUGGGAAGAAGGCCUUCGGUU
This 394-nucleotide ribosomal RNA is filed under the name uncultured bacterium. RNAcentral's name for it is "bacterial SSU rRNA". It matches the Rfam family "Bacterial small subunit ribosomal RNA", at positions 29 to 423 of the family's 1533-position model. The record is from RNAcentral.